Brassica rapa (field mustard) is the source of this 2445-nucleotide long non-coding RNA. RefSeq lists it as uncharacterized. The record is from RefSeq and is a predicted model, not a curated record. NCBI's taxonomy places the organism in Eukaryota, Viridiplantae, Streptophyta, Magnoliopsida, Brassicales, Brassicaceae.
ACAAAAUAUUUUAAUGUUUCUAAUUAGAUUGUUUGUUUUUAAUAACUUACAUUUCUAAUAUGGAUUACUUACGCACAAUAUCACAUCAUAUGCAAAUCAUUUUUUGACAAUACACAUUUAAUACAUUUCUUUAAACGAUUUCAUUAUUUAUUAUGCAAAAUAUUGUGCGUCAUUAAUAUGAAAAAUAAAUCAACUGUAUAUAUAGGGGACACCCAAAGUUUUAAAAUACAAACAUUCUCUUUUCAUUCUUUAAAGUAUUAUUCACAAAUCUCUCCUCUCAUACUAUUAAUGUAUUACGACGAUGCUGCUUGUGUGCUAAGAAAAAUGUGUUUACACGCAAAGGCUCUCAUCUUUCAUCGACUCUGCCACCCCCUUUGCCUUGAAAGUUCAAUAAACCUGUACAGCCUAAUAAAGGACUAACCCGCCAAGGCAAUGGGCACUCAGAAGAGCUACGUUGUGUCAUUGCUGUUAUUCGACAUGGCGAUCGAACUCCAAAACAGAAGGUGAAACUAAAUGUUACAGAGGAGAAACUGUUAAACCUGAUGCUGAAGUACAAUGGUGGAAAGCCAAGAGCUGAGGUGCGAGAGGCUCCAGCUUUUCUGUCAUCCAUCUUUUAUCAGAGCCUUUAUUCACUUUAUAUAUUUUUCUUCUUUUUGUAGACAAAACUAAAAAGUGCAGUCCAGUUGCACGACCUAUUAGAUGCAACAAGAAUGUUAGUUCCCCGUACAAAGUAGAAUCCUGAAUUCAACUCUUUGUGUCUUGUCUCCAAAAAGCAUGUAUGGUCUAUCUUUUCCAUGUGUUGAAUACUGGUAACGACAAUAUGGUCUUCCUUUUUUUAUAUGUAGACCAGGUCGUGAUCCAGAAGACCGUGAACAUGCUGAGAAGCUUCGCCAAGUUAAAGUAGUUCUUGAAGAGGUUCUUUAGUACUUUUUUUUGUUGAAUAUAGUCCGGGAAAAGUAUUACAUAGUAUCAUUUAGUAAUACUAUCUUAUAUCAUUUUUUUUUGUUGAAUAUACUAUCUUAUAAGUAAGCUAGCAUUAUGCAUUUUUUAUUUAAUUCAUGAGGUCAUUUUCUCACAGCAGAGAACCUUUUGGAAUGGCGCAGAGAGAAAAUUUCUCAUGAAUAUACAGGAAGGUUCAACUGAAGCCGCUGAAGUGGGAUGGUGAAGGCGAAGAAGAAAGAAACUGUAGAGGCCCUUAUGAUUCUUAAAUACGGCGGUGUUCUAACUCACGCUGGUAGAAACAUGUGUUUACAUACUCUACCAUUUAAUUUGUCAUUAUUAUAUAUAUAUAUGUUUUCCAAAUAUGGAAGAAUUGUUUAACUUAUUGAUGUUUGCUUAAUCUGCAUGCAGGCAGAAGAUCUUGGUAGAUUCUUCCGAUACAAUAUGUAUCCAGGUGAAGGGACUGGUUUGCUUCGUCUCCAUAGUACAUACCGUCAUGACCUUAAAAUUUACAACUCUGACGAGGGACGUGUUGAGGUACGUACACCUUUUACAUUGAUACAACUGAAGAUAAUAAAGCAUAUGUGUUGGGAAAAAAAAUAAUGUUUGAACUGGUUUGCAUAUGUUGACCAGAUGUCUGCAGCUGCUUUUGCUAAAAGCUUGCUUGACCUAGAAGGACAGCUGACGCCAAUCCUGGUUUUUCCUUCUUAAUAUUAUAUUGCUGGUGCUUAAUUUGCAAUGUCAUCAUGUGUUUAUUAAUAAUGUAUUUUUAUCUUUCUUGCUUCUCAAGGUUUUUUUGGUUAGCAAGGACCCUUCCAUGUUGGAUGGUCUUGGUACUGCCAUCAUUGAAAUGGAAGCUGCCAAGGUUUGUUCCAUGACUUGAGUCAUUUUUUGAAGUGUGUGUAUCAGUCAAUCAACAAGAUUGAUUUCAUUAUAAUUAGACUAUAUAUGCAGGCUAGAUUGAAUGAGAUUGUAACGUCUGGCAAAAAAAUUAUCAAUGAAUUACUACUAUUUAUUAUUAUAGUCCAUAGUAGUAAUUAUCAAAUCAAAUACGCAAAAGGCAAAACAAAAAGAGAGAGGCAUAACAUAAAAUAAGUUAACAUAUUAAAUUGUAAAUAAGCCAAAAUAUUUCAAAGCAGUCAAACAACUUAUAAAAUUAAUAAUCGUGGUCAACUUACCAACAUGGUGCAUAUAUGUCAAAUGGACAAAUCUACGUUUAAGUAACCCAACCUGUAAGGGAUUAAGAUUUUUUUUGUGAAUCUCGUGGACUGAUCUAUCGCAGAUUGGGGUUCAUAGGUGAAGUUUCAAGAAAUUGUUAUAAUUUGAUUGGUCGAUUGUUUUUAAUUUUUAUUUAUUUAAUUUAGAUCUAAAAAUUUAAGAUAAGCCUAAAAUUAUUUAACAUCACUUGCCAUAUAAUCUAACGAAUAUUACAAAUAACAAUUUAUGGAAACUAAUUCUCGAAAUUAUAGAAAGAUUAAUAAUGUUUUAUUUAUUACUUUUAAUAUU